CGGGGUGUGGCUCAGUUGGUAGAGCGCCUGGUUUGGGACCAGGAUGCCGCAGGUUCGAAUCCUGUCACUCCGACCA
Molecule: transfer RNA, 76 nt
Filed under: Clostridia bacterium
Lineage: Bacteria; Bacillati; Bacillota; Clostridia
Description: tRNA-Pro
Rfam family: tRNA
About the family: Transfer RNA (tRNA) molecules are approximately 80 nucleotides in length. Their secondary structure includes four short double-helical elements and three loops (D, anti-codon, and T loops).
Source: RNAcentral